This 468-nucleotide ribosomal RNA is filed under the name uncultured bacterium. RNAcentral's name for it is "partial 16S ribosomal RNA". It matches the Rfam family "Bacterial small subunit ribosomal RNA", at positions 28 to 507 of the family's 1533-position model. The record is from RNAcentral.
GACGAACGCUGGCGGCGUGCUUAACACAUGCAAGUCGAACGGAAAGACCCUGCUUUUGUGGGGUGCUCGAGUGGCGAACGGGUGAGUAACACGUGAGUAACCUGCCCUUGACUUUGGGAUAACUUCAGGAAACUGGGGCUAAUACCGGAUAGGAGCUCCUGCUGCAUGGUGGGGGUUGGAAAGUUUCGGCGGUUGGGGAUGGACUCGCGGCUUAUCAGCUUGUUGGUGGGGUAGUGGCUUACCAAGGCUUUGACGGGUAGCCGGCCUGAGAGGGUGACCGGCCACAUUGGGACUGAGAUAGGGCCCAGACUCCUACGGGAGGCAGCAGUGGGGAAUAUUGCACAAUGGGCGGAAGCCUGAUGCAGCAACGCCGCGUGCGGGAUGACGGCCUUCGGGUUGUAAACCGCUUUCGCCUGUGACGAAGCGUGAGUGACGGUAAUGGGUAAAGAAGCACCGGCUAACUACGUG